UCAGCAUCACAUUUCCUAAUUUCCUUGAGGCAGCGGACCUAGAUGAGGACCUGUCUGAAAAACCAUCUAAAGAGAGUUGCAUCAAAGAGCAGAGACAGUAUUUCUUUGGGAACAAUGAGACAACUUUUAAGGGGACUGUGGAUUGUCAGAACUGCUCCAGGCAGUUCAUAGCUGAAAAGCUUCCGAAGACAAAUCUGGUGCUAAUUGUUGCAGACCCGCUAAUUCAUUGCCAUACUAGUGAAAAAGGUUUCUCCCAGGAAGAAAAG
Long non-coding RNA from Sinocyclocheilus grahami, 266 nucleotides. RefSeq lists it as uncharacterized. NCBI's taxonomy places the organism in Eukaryota, Metazoa, Chordata, Actinopteri, Cypriniformes, Cyprinidae. The record is from RefSeq and is a predicted model, not a curated record. The transcript has 3 exons.